This 414-nucleotide ribosomal RNA is filed under the name uncultured Treponema sp. RNAcentral's name for it is "bacterial SSU rRNA". It matches the Rfam family "Bacterial small subunit ribosomal RNA", at positions 355 to 760 of the family's 1533-position model. The record is from RNAcentral. Lineage: Bacteria; Pseudomonadati; Spirochaetota; Spirochaetia; Treponematales; Treponemataceae.
CUAAGAAUAUUCCGCAAUGGAGGAAACUCUGACGGAGCGACGCCGCGUGGAUGAUGAAGGUCGGAAGAUUGUAAAAUCCUUUUAUGACUGAGGAAUAAGUACGUUGAGAGAAACGGCGUAUGGUGACUGUGGGUCAUGAAUAAGCAACGGCUAAUUACGUGCCAGCAGCCGCGGUAACACGUAAGUUGCGAGCGUUGUUCGGAAUUAUUGGGCGUAAAGGGCAUGUAGGCGGUAUUGCAAGCCUGGUGUGAAAGGCGGGGGCUCAACCCCUGGACUGCGCUGGGAACUGCAUUACUAGAGUCGCUGAGGGGCAAUCAGAAUUCCAGGUGUAGGGGUGAAAUCUGUAGAUAUUAGGAGGAACACCAGUGGCGAAGGCGGCUUGCUGGACGACAACUGACGCUGAGGCGCGAAAGC